ACCCAUUCGGUAAAGAUCCUGAUUGAUCUCCCCUUAAGAACUCUAUUCCAACGGUCGGACAUUUCAGAGAGAAUGGCCAAAUGAGCGGUCGAACUCAGAGAGUUUGAUCUAUCUUAUGUUCCAUGAUCCUCGAUGAAGGCUCAAAUACUUGCUGACUUCAUUGUCGAAUGCAUGCUAGCCAUUGAUAGUCAAGUCGAGGAUCAGUCUCA
RNAcentral lists this long non-coding RNA (209 nucleotides) under Elaeis guineensis (African oil palm). RNAcentral describes it as "long non-coding RNA (EGUI_LNC018994)". Lineage: Eukaryota; Viridiplantae; Streptophyta; Magnoliopsida; Arecales; Arecaceae. The record is from RNAcentral.